Molecule: ribosomal RNA, 1361 nt
Filed under: uncultured bacterium
Lineage: Bacteria
Description: bacterial SSU rRNA
Rfam family: Bacterial small subunit ribosomal RNA
Source: RNAcentral
AUUGAACGCUGGCGGCAGGCCUAACACAUGCAAGUCGAGCGGUAGCACAGAGAGCUUGCUCUCGGGUGACGAGCGGCGGACGGGUGAGUAAUGUCUGGGAAACUGCCUGAUGGAGGGGGAUAACUACUGGAAACGGUAGCUAAUACCGCAUAACGUCGCAAGACCAAAGUGGGGGACCUUCGGGCCUCAUGCCAUCAGAUGUGCCCAGAUGGGAUUAGCUAGUAGGUGGGGUAACGGCUCACCUAGGCGACGAUCCCUAGCUGGUCUGAGAGGAUGACCAGCCACACUGGAACUGAGACACGGUCCAGACUCCUACGGGAGGCAGCAGUGGGGAAUAUUGCACAAUGGGCGCAAGCCUGAUGCAGCCAUGCCGCGUGUGUGAAGAAGGCCUUCGGGUUGUAAAGCACUUUCAGCGGGGAGGAAGGCGGUGAGGUUAAUAACCUCAUCGAUUGACGUUACCCGCAGAAGAAGCACCGGCUAACUCCGUGCCAGCAGCCGCGGUAAUACGGAGGGUGCAAGCGUUAAUCGGAAUUACUGGGCGUAAAGCGCACGCAGGCGGUCUGUCAAGUCGGAUGUGAAAUCCCCGGGCUCAACCUGGGAACUGCAUUCGAAACUGGCAGGCUAGAGUCUUGUAGAGGGGGGUAGAAUUCCAGGUGUAGCGGUGAAAUGCGUAGAGAUCUGGAGGAAUACCGGUGGCGAAGGCGGCCCCCUGGACAAAGACUGACGCUCAGGUGCGAAAGCGUGGGGAGCAAACAGGAUUAGAUACCCUGGUAGUCCACGCCGUAAACGAUGUCGAUUUGGAGGUUGUGCCCUUGAGGCGUGGCUUCCGGAGCUAACGCGUUAAAUCGACCGCCUGGGGAGUACGGCCGCAAGGUUAAAACUCAAAUGAAUUGACGGGGGCCCGCACAAGCGGUGGAGCAUGUGGUUUAAUUCGAUGCAACGCGAAGAACCUUACCUGGUCUUGACAUCCACAGAACUUUCCAGAGACGGAUUGGUGCCUUCGGGAACUGUGAGACAGGUGCUGCAUGGCUGUCGUCAGCUCGUGUUGUGAAAUGUUGGGUUAAGUCCCGCAACGAGCGUAACCCUUAUCCUUUGUUGCCAGCGGUCCGGCCGGGAACUCAAAGGAGACUGCCAGUGAUAAACUGGAGGAAGGUGGGGAUGACGUCAAGUCAUCAUGGCCCUUACGACCAGGGCUACACACGUGCUACAAUGGCAUAUACAAAGGGAAGCGACCUCGCGAGAGCAAGCGGACCUCAUAAAGUAUGUCGUAGUCCGGAUUGGGGUCUGCAACUCGACUCCAUGAAGUCGGAAUCGCUAGUAAUCGUAGAUCAGAAUGCUACGGUGAAUACGUUCCCGGGCCU